This 233-nucleotide ribosomal RNA is filed under the name uncultured bacterium. RNAcentral describes it as "partial 16S ribosomal RNA". It matches the Rfam family "Bacterial small subunit ribosomal RNA", at positions 122 to 354 of the family's 1533-position model. The record is from RNAcentral.
UAACCUGCCUUGGAGUGGGGAAUAACAGCUGGAAACAGCUGCUAAUACCGCAUGAUGCAGUUGGGUCGCAUGGCUCUGACUGCCAAAGAUUUAUCGCUCUGAGAUGGACUCGCGUCUGAUUAGCUAGUUGGCGGGGCAACGGCCCACCAAGGCGACGAUCAGUAGCCGGACUGAGAGGUUGGCCGGCCACAUUGGGACUGAGACACGGCCCAGACUCCUACGGGAGGCAGCAG